UUAAGUUAUUAAGGGCGCACGGUGGAUGCCUUGGCACUAGAAGCCGAUGAAGGACGUUACUAACGACGAUAUGCUUUGGGGAGCUGUAAGUAAGCUUUGAUCCAGAGAUUUCCGAAUGGGGAAACCCAGCAUGAGUUAUGUCAUGUUAUCGAUAUGUGAAUACAUAGCAUAUCAGAAGGCACACCCGGAGAACUGAAACAUCUUAGUACCCGGAGGAAGAGAAAGAAAAUUCGAUUCCCUUAGUAGCGGCGAGCGAAACGGGAAGAGCCCAAACCAACAAGCUUGCUUGUUGGGGUUGUAGGACACUCUAUACGGAGUUACAAAGGACGACAUUAGACGAAUCAUCUGGAAAGAUGAAUCAAAGAAGGUAAUAAUCCUGUAGUCGAAAAUGUUGUCUCUCUUGAGUGGAUCCUGAGUACGACGGAGCACGUGAAAUUCCGUCGGAAUCUGGGAGGACCAUCUCCUAAGGCUAAAUACUCUCUAGUGACCGAUAGUGAACCAGUACCGUGAGGGAAAGGUGAAAAGCACCCCGGAAGGGGAGUGAAAUAGAACCUGAAACCGUGUGCUUACAAGUAGUCAGAGCCCGUUAAUGGGUGAUGGCGUGCCUUUUGUAGAAUGAACCGGCGAGUUACGAUUUGAUGCAAGGUUAAGCAGUAAAUGUGGAGCCGUAGCGAAAGCGAGUCUGAAUAGGGCGUUUAGUAUUUGGUCGUAGACCCGAAACCAGGUGAUCUACCCUUGGUCAGGUUGAAGUUCAGGUAACACUGAAUGGAGGACCGAACCGACUUACGUUGAAAAGUGAGCGGAUGAACUGAGGGUAGCGGAGAAAUUCCAAUCGAACCUGGAGAUAGCUGGUUCUCUCCGAAAUAGCUUUAGGGCUAGCCUCAAGUGAUGAUUAUUGGAGGUAGAGCACUGUUUGGACGAGGGGCCCCUCUCGGGUUACCGAAUUCAGACAAACUCCGAAUGCCAAUUAAUUUAACUUGGGAGUCAGAACAUGGGUGAUAAGGUCCGUGUUCGAAAGGGAAACAGCCCAGACCACCAGCUAAGGUCCCAAAAUAUAUGUUAAGUGGAAAAGGAUGUGGCGUUGCCCAGACAACUAGGAUGUUGGCUUAGAAGCAGCCAUCAUUUAAAGAGUGCGUAAUAGCUCACUAGUCGAGUGACACUGCGCCGAAAAUGUACCGGGGCUAAACAUAUUACCGAAGCUGUGGAUUGUCCUUUGGACAAUGGUAGGAGAGCGUUCUAAGGGCGUUGAAGCAUGAUCGUAAGGACAUGUGGAGCGCUUAGAAGUGAGAAUGCCGGUGUGAGUAGCGAAAGACGGGUGAGAAUCCCGUCCACCGAUUGACUAAGGUUUCCAGAGGAAGGCUCGUCCGCUCUGGGUUAGUCGGGUCCUAAGCUGAGGCCGACAGGCGUAGGCGAUGGAUAACAGGUUGAUAUUCCUGUACCACCUAUAAUCGUUUUAAUCGAUGGGGGGACGCAGUAGGAUAGGCGAAGCGUGCGAUUGGAUUGCACGUCUAAGCAGUAAGGCUGAGUAUUAGGCAAAUCCGGUACUCGUUAAGGCUGAGCUGUGAUGGGGAGAAGACAUUGAGUCUUCGAGUCGUUGAUUUCACACUGCCGAGAAAAGCCUCUAGAUAGAAAAUAGGUGCCCGUACCGCAAACCGACACAGGUAGUCAAGAUGAGAAUUCUAAGGUGAGCGAGCGAACUCUCGUUAAGGAACUCGGCAAAAUGACCCCGUAACUUCGGGAGAAGGGGUGCUCUUUAGGGUUAACGCCCAGAAGAGCCGCAGUGAAUAGGCCCAAGCGACUGUUUAUCAAAAACACAGGUCUCUGCUAAACCGUAAGGUGAUGUAUAGGGGCUGACGCCUGCCCGGUGCUGGAAGGUUAAGAGGAGUGGUUAGCUUCUGCGAAGCUACGAAUCGAAGCCCCAGUAAACGGCGGCCGUAACUAUAACGGUCCUAAGGUAGCGAAAUUCCUUGUCGGGUAAGUUCCGACCCGCACGAAAGGCGUAACGAUUUGGGCACUGUCUCAACGAGAGACUCGGUGAAAUCAUAGUACCUGUGAAGAUGCAGGUUACCCGCGACAGGACGGAAAGACCCCGUGGAGCUUUACUGUAGCCUGAUAUUGAAAUUCGGCACAGCUUGUACAGGAUAGGUAGGAGCCUUUGAAACGUGAGCGCUAGCUUACGUGGAGGCGCUGGUGGGAUACUACCCUAGCUGUGUUGGCUUUCUAACCCGCACCACUUAUCGUGGUGGGAGACAGUGUCAGGCGGGCAGUUUGACUGGGGCGGUCGCCUCCUAAAAGGUAACGGAGGCGCUCAAAGGUUCCCUCAGAAUGGUUGGAAAUCAUUCAUAGAGUGUAAAGGCAUAAGGGAGCUUGACUGCGAGACCUACAAGUCGAGCAGGGUCGAAAGACGGACUUAGUGAUCCGGUGGUUCCGCAUGGAAGGGCCAUCGCUCAACGGAUAAAAGCUACCCCGGGGAUAACAGGCUUAUCUCCCCCAAGAGUUCACAUCGACGGGGAGGUUUGGCACCUCGAUGUCGGCUCAUC
Molecule: ribosomal RNA, 2540 nt
Filed under: Staphylococcus aureus M1212
Lineage: Bacteria; Bacillati; Bacillota; Bacilli; Caryophanales; Staphylococcaceae
Also listed under: 2 other names
Description: bacterial LSU rRNA
Rfam family: Bacterial large subunit ribosomal RNA
Source: RNAcentral